RNAcentral lists this ribosomal RNA (811 nucleotides) under Microbacterium aurantiacum. RNAcentral's name for it is "partial 16S ribosomal RNA". It matches the Rfam family "Bacterial small subunit ribosomal RNA", at positions 37 to 859 of the family's 1533-position model. Lineage: Bacteria; Bacillati; Actinomycetota; Actinomycetes; Micrococcales; Microbacteriaceae. The record is from RNAcentral.
UGGCGGCGUGCUUAACACAUGCAAGUCGAACGGUGAAGCCAAGCUUGCUUGGUGGAUCAGUGGCGAACGGGUGAGUAACACGUGAGCAACCUGCCCUGGACUCUGGGAUAAGCGCUGGAAACGGCGUCUAAUACUGGAUAUGAGCUCUCAUCGCAUGGUGGGGGUUGGAAAGAUUUUUCGGUCUGGGAUGGGCUCGCGGCCUAUCAGCUUGUUGGUGAGGUAAUGGCUCACCAAGGCGUCGACGGGUAGCCGGCCUGAGAGGGUGACCGGCCACACUGGGACUGAGACACGGCCCAGACUCCUACGGGAGGCAGCAGUGGGGAAUAUUGCACAAUGGGCGGAAGCCUGAUGCAGCAACGCCGCGUGAGGGAUGACGGCCUUCGGGUUGUAAACCUCUUUUAGCAGGGAAGAAGCGAGAGUGACGGUACCUGCAGAAAAAGCGCCGGCUAACUACGUGCCAGCAGCCGCGGUAAUACGUAGGGCGCAAGCGUUAUCCGGAAUUAUUGGGCGUAAAGAGCUCGUAGGCGGUUUGUCGCGUCUGCUGUGAAAUCCCGAGGCUCAACCUCGGGCCUGCAGUGGGUACGGGCAGACUAGAGUGCGGUAGGGGAGAUUGGAAUUCCUGGUGUAGCGGUGGAAUGCGCAGAUAUCAGGAGGAACACCGAUGGCGAAGGCAGAUCUCUGGGCCGUAACUGACGCUGAGGAGCGAAAGGGUGGGGAGCAAACAGGCUUAGAUACCCUGGUAGUCCACCCCGUAAACGUUGGGAACUAGUUGUGGGGACCAUUCCACGGUUUCCGUGACGCAGCUAACGCA